UACAGAGGGUGCGAGCGUUGUCCGGAAUCACUGGGCGUAAAGGGCGCGUAGGUGGUGGCUUAAGCGUGCGGUGAAAGCUCGGGGCUCAACCCCGAGUCGGCCGUGCGAACUGGGCUCACUGGAGCAUAGUAGAGGCAGGUGGAAUUCCGGGUGUAGCGGUGGAAUGCGUAGAGAUCCGGAAGAACACCGGUGGCGAAAGGCGGAUCUCUGGG
RNAcentral lists this ribosomal RNA (212 nucleotides) under uncultured bacterium. RNAcentral's name for it is "partial 16S ribosomal RNA". It matches the Rfam family "Bacterial small subunit ribosomal RNA", at positions 524 to 733 of the family's 1533-position model. The record is from RNAcentral.